CACAUUGUACAGUUCUGUUUGCAUCAGAUGGCGUAUGCAAGGCGCAGAUACAAGUCUAGUACGCUAGAAAGACGAAGCUACAAAGAUUCAAUGUCAUUCACCAUUCUCCCAAAGCCAUCCGAAAAUGUUGCAUCAACACUUAUGAAAAUAUUUACAAAAUAAAGAAAGCGAGAGCCUUAAACAUGAUCAAUAUCUUUACAAGAGAAACACUGAUAUCGACUCCAAGCAAAAUCACUACAGAUUGGGAUAUGUUCAUAACACUGAAUUAUGAGUAUAAAGGUGCAAAAGUGAUAUAAUACGUGUUACCGAAAUACGCUAUUUGGCAAGCAAGCAGUACUCUUUUUGCGGCAUAACAAAUGCUCAUCAUUUUUUCUGUGAGACAACGGGGAUCUAUAGUCUUUUACCACAUGCAGGACUUUUACAAAUAAAGCUGUCCAUUGCCAUCGUCCGUGAUUUACAGCGUUCAUCAUCUACAUUAAUCUACUGUCAAUGAUCUAGUGUGGUCUUCCGACAUCGACACUCCUAGCGAUGGCAACCAUCAUCUGCCAUCACCUAGUGCCAUCUUCAAUUACUAUUAUACGCUCUAU
Molecule: long non-coding RNA, 587 nt
Organism: Dendronephthya gigantea
Lineage: Eukaryota; Metazoa; Cnidaria; Anthozoa; Malacalcyonacea; Nephtheidae
Exons: 5
Source: RefSeq, a predicted model, not a curated record